GUGGGGAAUUUUGCGCAAUGGGGGAAACCCUGACGCAGCGACGCCGCGUGGAGGACGAAGGCCUUCGGGUUGUAAACUCCUUUUGUGGGGGAAGAUAGUGACGGUACCCCGCGAAUAAGCCACGGCUAACUCUGUGCCAGCAGCCGCGGUAAGACAGAGGUGGCAAGCGUUGUUCGGAAUUACUGGGCUUAAAGGGCGCGUAGGCGGCAUGGUAAGUCGGUGGUGGAAUCCCGGAGCUUAACUCCGGAAUUGCCAUCGAAACUGCUUUGCUUGAGUCAGUGAGGGGAGGGCGGAAUUCCUGGUGUAGCAGUGAAAUGCGUAGAUAUCAGGAGGAAGGCCGGUGGCGAAGGCGGCCCUCUGGCGCUUGACUGACGCUGAGGCGCGAAAGCGUGGGGAGCAAACAGGAUUAGAAACCCGGGUAGUCC
RNAcentral lists this ribosomal RNA (425 nucleotides) under uncultured bacterium. RNAcentral describes it as "bacterial SSU rRNA". It matches the Rfam family "Bacterial small subunit ribosomal RNA", at positions 354 to 796 of the family's 1533-position model. The record is from RNAcentral.